CACAUGCAAGUCGAGGGGCAGCAUGGUCUUAGCUUGCUAAGGCUGAUGGCGACCGGCGCACGGGUGAGUAACACGUAUCCAACCUGCCGUCUACUCUUGGCCAGCCUUCUGAAAGGAAGAUUAAUCCAGGAUGGCAUCAUGAGUUCACAUGUCCGCAUGAUUAAAGGUAUUUUCCGGUAGACGAUGGGGAUGCGUUCCAUUAGAUAGUAGGCGGGGUAACGGCCCACCUAGUCAACGAUGGAUAGGGGUUCUGAGAGGAAGGUCCCCCACAUUGGAACUGAGACACGGUCCAAACUCCUACGGGAGGCAGCAGUGAGGAAUAUUGGUCAAUGGGCGAUGGCCUGAACCAGCCAAGUAGCGUGAAGGAUGACUGCCCUAUGGGUUGUAAACUUCUUUUAUAAAGGAAUAAAGUCGGGUAUGCAUACCCGUUUGCAUGUACUUUAUGAAUAAGGAUCGGCUAACUCCGUGCCAGCAGCCGCGGUAAUACGGAGGAUCCGAGCGUUAUCCGGAUUUAUUGGGUUUAAAGGGAGCGUAGAUGGAUGUUUAAGUCAGUUGUGAAAGUUUGCGGCUCAACCGUAAAAUUGCAGUUGAUACUGGAUGUCUUGAGUGCAGUUGAGGCAGGCGGAAUUCGUGGUGUAGCGGUGAAAUGCUUAGAUAUCACGAAGAACUCCGAUUGCGAAGGCAGCCUGCUAAGCUGCAACUGA
RNAcentral lists this ribosomal RNA (704 nucleotides) under uncultured Bacteroidales bacterium. RNAcentral's name for it is "bacterial SSU rRNA". It matches the Rfam family "Bacterial small subunit ribosomal RNA", at positions 52 to 743 of the family's 1533-position model. Lineage: Bacteria; Pseudomonadati; Bacteroidota; Bacteroidia; Bacteroidales. The record is from RNAcentral.